This 697-nucleotide ribosomal RNA is filed under the name uncultured Candidatus Saccharibacteria bacterium. RNAcentral describes it as "bacterial SSU rRNA". It matches the Rfam family "Bacterial small subunit ribosomal RNA", at positions 571 to 1279 of the family's 1533-position model. The record is from RNAcentral. Lineage: Bacteria; Candidatus Saccharimonadota.
GUAGGCGGUUUAAUAAGUGAAUAGUGAAACCUGGUGGCUCAACCAUACAGACUAUUAUUCAAACUGUUAAACUCGAGAAUGGUAGAGGUAACNUGGAAUUUCUAGUGUAGGAGUGAAAUCCGUAGAUAUUAGAAGGAACACCGAUGGCGUAGGCAGGUUACUGGGCCAUUUCUGACGCUAAGGCACGAAAGCGUGGGGAGCGAACCGGAUUAGAUACCCGGGUAGUCCACGCCGUAAACGAUGGAUACUAGCUGUUGGAGGUAUCGACCCCUUCAGUAGCGAAGCUAACGCGUUAAGUAUCCCGCCUGUGGAGUACGGCCGCAAGGCUAAAACAUAAAGGAAUUGACGGGGACCCGCACAAGCGGUGGAUUAUGUUCUUUAAUUCGAUGAUAACCGAAGAACCUUACCAGGGCUUGACAUCCAGGGAAGGUCUGCGAAAGUAGACUGUGCCUUUUGGAACCCUGUGACAGGUGAUGCAUGGCCGUCGUCAGCUCGUGUCGUGAGAUGUUAGGUUAAGUCCUUCAACGAGCGCAACCCUUGUGAAUAGUUGUAUUUUUCUAUUCAGACUGCCCCGGUAACGGGGAGGAAGGAGGGGNAUGAUGUCAGGUCAGUAUUUCCCUUACGUCCUGGGCUAGAAACGUAAUACAAUGGCUAGUACAAUGCGCAGCGAAGCCGCGAGGUGAAGCAAAUCGCAUCC